CCUACGGGCUGCUGCAGUCGAGAAUCAUUCACAAUGGGGGAAACCCUGAUGGUGCGACGCCGCGUGGGGGAAUGAAGGUCUUCGUAUUGUAAACCCCUGUCAUGUGGGAGCAAAUUAAAAAGAUAGUACCACAAGAGGAAGCGACGGCUAACUCUGUGCCAGCAGCCGAGGUAAUACAGAGGUCUCAAGCGUUGUUCGGAAUCACUGGGCGUAAAGCGGGCGUAGGCUGUUUCGUAAGUCGUGUGUGAAAGGCGCGGGCUCAACCCGCGGACGGCACAUGAUACUGCUAGACUAGAGUAAUGGAGGGGGAACCGGAAUGCUCGGUGUAGCAGUGAAAUGCGUAGAUAUCGAGAGGAACACUCGUGGCGAAGGCGGGUUCCUGGACAUUAACUGACGCUGAGGCACGAAGGCCAGGGGAGCGAAAGGGAUUAGAUACCCCAGUAGUC
Molecule: ribosomal RNA, 446 nt
Filed under: uncultured bacterium
Lineage: Bacteria
Description: partial 16S ribosomal RNA
Rfam family: Bacterial small subunit ribosomal RNA
Source: RNAcentral